Long non-coding RNA from Stomoxys calcitrans (stable fly), 1839 nucleotides. RefSeq lists it as uncharacterized. The transcript is spliced from 6 exons. The record is from RefSeq and is a predicted model, not a curated record. NCBI's taxonomy places the organism in Eukaryota, Metazoa, Arthropoda, Insecta, Diptera, Muscidae.
CAUUUGAAAGAAAACUUCAGACUGUUUAUAUCGUUGAUUAAAAGGCAAGAUAUUUUUUUGUGUCAAAUAAUUUUUGGAUUUUCUCGAAGAAAUUUAUUUUUUUGAAUUGACAAUUUCGCUGUGGCUCGGACUGCGUAUAAUAAAUUGGAAGCUAUUAUAUAUUUCUGGGAGGAAUUGGGAGCGUUUAUCUCUAAUUCCACCCAAGGAUUUUUUAUUUAAAAUUUUUUUCGCGAGAGAGAUAAAAGAAAAUAGCAUCUCCAUAGCACCACCUGUCUGACCUUUGGCGGGUUUAGACGCACCAUUGCGAAUGAUUGUCGCCGUAAAUUUUAUUGUUGACCAACACGUAUACGCCACAAAAGGAAAAUCGACCAUUCCAAGCUCUUGUCAAGAUUAUGAAAAAAAUAGAGCAAUAUAAAGAAUAUUUUGACAUACAUAUAUAAAUUCUUGACGUUUCUUAAGAGGAUCCAAAACAAAAAAGACAAUAUUAUCAUUUAGAGCGUAUCGUCAGAAGGGCAUCAUGGUUACCUUCUCCAUCAAUUGCUAGGAUAUUAAGAAUAACCGCAAUAUAUACACUAGUCUACAAUUUGAUUCGCCAAAUACUUAUUUUGUCAAGAGUGAAUAUUUUACUUUUUGUUAAGCACCAGAAUCCAGCAAAGACAACAGGCCUGCGGUCUACGAUGGACAUAAUGUUCGGGUAUCGAAAAACGUUGACCUCUCCUUUUUUUACGCACCCGGCGGAUGGCUCAUCAAAUUGAUGUUUUGAUGUUAAGGGAAUAUAUAAUGGAAGCAUUCCUUGACAAUGAGGAUGAUUUCAAUUAUGUAAAACCGAUGUGCUGAAACGAGCUGAAGUUUCUGGGUGUCAACACUAACAUUAAAAAGUUUAUUAAUAACUUAUUUACUAAAAGAUGAAUUACGGCAUGCUUUGGAUAUGUGGAUUUAAAAGAUGGGUCAGAAGAGGAACUCCCCAAGUACUGUCUCCUCUACUUUAAAUUGCAAAAAGAGAUUAAGGCAGAUUGAGGUCAGUGAGCUGACAUAGAAAUACCUAACAAUGGCAACAUCAUGGGGUCGUUAUUCAUACAAAUGUUUACCAUGCGGACUGGCGUCAGCUCCAGAGGUCUGUCAGAAAUUAAUUACGCAGUUACUGGAAAAUGUACCCAGAACGGAGGUAUCGAUGGACGAUAUCCUUAUCCAAAGAACAAUUUGAGAGACAAACUGAACAAGUUAUGAAGAUAUUAUAAAGUACAGAAGGAAUAGCUGUUGAUCCUGAUAAAAUAUCGGAUCCUGAUAAAAUUAUCUCAAAAUGCCGGAAAAUCGCGCUUAGCUACAGAGAAUACUGGGUAUGGCUACAUAUCUUCGCAAAUUUAUUACAAACUUUUCAGAAAUAACAGAUUCUGUUCGAGGCCUUCUUAAAAAAAGUCGUAUUAACCAGGGCCAUGGUUACCACAUCACGAAGUAUCAUUUAAAAAGCUUAAAAAUGCAUUUGGUGGAACUCCAUUGCUAAGAUAUUAUGGUCCGAAUCUGGAUGUGAAGCUCCACGUCGAUGCAAGCAAAUCCAGCGUAGGCGCAGCUUUUUUAAAAAAUCAUCAACCGUCGGAAUUGCCUUCUGAGAUAAGAAAUUUUUGGUGGUGAACGCACUUGGGAUGAUGGGAUUAUUUAUAUCCACUAAGGCAUUAAUAUCUUUUUCUCUACAGAAAGAUAUGUUACGGCUGUAACAUAGAUGGCUAUUUUUUCAGGAAUUUUAAAUAAUUGUUGCGGCUGCAACCAUGUGUUACAGCUGUAACACUUUCGCGGCUGAAUUAUAAUAAAAACGUCACUUUAUUGUCAUAAAAUUCUUUCUAA